RNA transcript from Culicoides brevitarsis, 1324 nucleotides. It is a transcript of the gene named sex-determining region Y protein, with no coding region annotated. The transcript is spliced from 7 exons. Lineage: Eukaryota; Metazoa; Arthropoda; Insecta; Diptera; Ceratopogonidae. The record is from RefSeq and is a predicted model, not a curated record.
CGUGUCUUUUUCGUGUCGGGUCGGAAUUCCUCCACAAGAAAUUGACAAAUUACGACGAAAUUACAACUUAAAAAAUCGAAAAAAUUCAAAAAUUGUCUCCCAAUUGUCCAAGAAAUCGCUGGAUAUCGUCAAAAUUGCCAUAAAAGCUGAUGUUUAGUCAUAUUCAGAGUCCAUGUUGAUAAGUGAAAGUUACAAGAUGUAUCGGUUGAGAAAUAUCUGGUUGCCCUUGACACUAAUCCUGCUUUUGGCUGUUGUAGCGGGCCAACGAGUCGCUCCCGGAGUCAAUCCGCAUCACUAUGAACAAGCGCCGCCACAACAACACGUCAACCAACAGCAGUAUCAACAGCCUCAUGGACAUCAACAACAACAAUAUCAGCAAUACCAACAACCUCAUGGACAUGCUCCUGGUGUGCCGCCGCAUCAGCAGCAGCAGCAGUAUCAACAACCGCCUCAGCAACAACAACAUCAUCAGCAGCAACAACAAUAUCAACAAGCUCCUCAACAUCAGCAACCUCCGCAGCACCAACAACACCAUCAGCAACAGCAGCAACACGGAAACGCCCACGGACACGGGCACGCACACGGCCAACCCGGUCAAAUUCUCAACCAACAAAACCUCGAACACGAAAAGGAACAUUUGGGCGAACACUUGAACGUCCCCAACUUGGACACGAGCAAGAUGUCGGAACAGGAACUGCAAUUCCACUACUUUAAGAUGCACGACUCGGACAACAACAACAAACUCGACGGCUGUGAACUCAUCAAGUCACUGAUUCACUGGCACGUUGACGAGUCAAACACGGAUGAGAUUCCUUUGAAAACUUAUGACGACGAAGAAUUAUCAAAAGUAGCUGACGAGGUCCUCAAACAAAUGGAUAAAAAUAAAGAUGGAUAUAUCGAGUAUUCUGAAUACAAAACUUCACAUGAAGACUGAAAAUAAAUUAAACUGACUUAUUUACAAAGAAAAAAAAUAUUUAAAAAAAUAAAUCUAAAAUCAUUAAAAGUUUUUCUUAGUUUUUUCACGUUUUUAUUUGAUAAUGCACGAUAUAAUGCACUCCAAACACAAACACAACAUAUUAAAACAUGAUACACCGCAUCUUGCAACACAUCAAGUAGUGUUUUAGGGGAUUUAAGUAAAUAACGAACCGAAUGGAGGAACAUCUGGGUGUCGUCAUCAUCAUUAUAUUAUUACAGCUUUGAACAUUCCACACAAACGCCGCCAACCGAUGGUAGCGGAUCGACACAAAUGCCUCCAGAACCUGUGCCAUUGCAAACGGAUGAGCAGUUGCAACAAAUGGUUGAUCCAAUUCUCGAUGUGAUGGAC